Molecule: long non-coding RNA, 1216 nt
Filed under: Brassica napus (rape)
Lineage: Eukaryota; Viridiplantae; Streptophyta; Magnoliopsida; Brassicales; Brassicaceae
Description: long non-coding RNA (BNAP_LNC018446)
Source: RNAcentral
UCUCUUCAGUUCAACACUCCCCCUCAAGCUUGACUUUAGGAGAUCCUAAGCCAAGCUUGGAACUCUGAAGAGUCUCCCUCAUUAAAAACCUUACAAGGAAAACCCAUUGGGACAAAACCUUGCAAGGGAAAAAGAGUAGAGCUCUCCAAAGCCUAGGGAUUGGCCAGUGAGCUCUUGUGCCUUAGAACCAGUGUGGUUGGACACAAGAAGCUCUGGAUCACGGCCUAAUAGGUGCAGCAUCUCUUCACAGCUUUGCGCACACUUCACACUUCAGCUUCACCUCUUCAUGGAACCGGUUUGAAGUCUCCCCCUCUCAACUGACUUCGCAGCCAUCUUAGAGAAGCUAGGACACGACCAGAUCAUCUUCAAAAACACCAGUGAGGCUGAUCAACACUUCACACACGGCCUGCCCUCUUCAUCAACCAGGUUUGGAAUCUCCCCCUCUCAACAGACUUCACAGCCUCUUUAGAGAAGCUAAGAGAUGACCCGGAACUGUUUAAUGAGGCUACAAGCAAUGGUACCUGAUACAUUAUCCCAAAGGUGCAUCAGUACCUAUAAAAAACAAGAAAAUGAAUAUCCUGCAUCACACUUGAUGCACACAAUCUCACAAUUCAAUCAUAAUCAUUUUAAGCAUCUUUUCAAGCACAAGCAAUGAAUAAGAUGAAUGAGAAGGAUUGAAAAGAGUUUUAAAAGUCAAAGGGAACUUCCCUUGUAUUUUUGUGAGUUUUCUAACUCGGCCAAUGCACCAUCUUCAUGGCAUCAUCAACUUCUUGGAAAGGCAGAAUGGAUUCAUCAGCUUCUCCUCAAUCACCUCUCAUUGAAGCUGCAUUGAUGGAGAGCCUUCUUCCUUACUCGCCAAGGCUGCUCUGAACAGCCUCUUGCCUAGACACGCCACUGACUUGGUCCGGUUGAUGAUCCUUACAAGAUUUUCCCUGACGUGUUUUACUCUAAUUAUAUAAGCUUUGCCAUUAUGUUAGAGGCAAAGUGUGCUUUCUUUGUGUUUCAUUGUUUUAUUGAUAGAUAGGAGAUAAGAUCCAAAGUUAUAAUUUGUGAUUGGAACUCCAUUGAUAUUUAUCUUAUUUAUUCUAUGAAGUUUUUAUACCUAACUAUUGUUAUGAAUUGCUUAGCCAUGUCUGAGUAGUUCUCUUGGUAGAUUUUAGGGUUUAAAUUGGUUAGGAGGGAUUAGCCCCAACUAUAGAUUGCUGAGUUGUGAUAA